UGACUAUGUUGUCAAGCCCAACACAAAGGUCUAGGUUCAUGGGGAUCAUAAGACACAGCCCCGGCUGCUCUGCCCAGGAGGCUGCAGGGGAAGGGAAGACGUCAAGGGAGAAGCUCUCCUCCUAGAACUUUAAGGCUAUGAACAAUUCUGAUGUGUUUGAAAUCACUGUGAAAGGACUGGACACAGACCCUUCAUCCUGGGCACCAACAACAUCCCCUCACCUAAGGAGUCCUUCA
This is a non-coding RNA of Microcebus murinus (gray mouse lemur), 236 nucleotides long. Lineage: Eukaryota; Metazoa; Chordata; Mammalia; Primates; Cheirogaleidae. The record is from RefSeq and is a predicted model, not a curated record.